Molecule: long non-coding RNA, 11933 nt
Filed under: Cricetulus griseus (Chinese hamster)
Lineage: Eukaryota; Metazoa; Chordata; Mammalia; Rodentia; Cricetidae
Description: lncRNA (ENSCGRG00015030672.1)
Source: RNAcentral
CUGAUUUCUGCACACUGUCCUUUGACCUCCACACGUGCGCAGCAUGUGGGCAUACAAAUAAAUGCAAUUGUAAAUUUUUUUAAACAAGUAGUCAGAUAAAAGGGUGAGGCACUGUUAGACAACAGAGAGUGGGUACACUCUAAGAAAAUGCAAAAUGGUUUAGUUUUCUUAAAAAAAAAAACAAAACAAAAAAAACUGGCGUUAAGUCUAGUCUCAGGAAAUUACCAACUUUUCCUUACAUGAACACCUAAGGUUAAGUCAUGCGGGAUAGCGGGCAAGUUUUUCUGUAUGGGGCUAGCCCCUUAAAAUACCCUUAUCGCAUAAACAAAGUACCCUCGCACAUUUCCACUGGGGGAAAUCCCACUUCCCGAGAACCCUGGCAAAGACCUACAGGCUUUCGCUGAGAAUUAGUGCCCCAAGGUCCAAGCAUCAACAUGUCCAAGAAACAGAUGAACUUAACACAAAAUGGCCAGGAAGAAGUUAGCUUAGAUUUACGUCAUUUACUGUAUCUACUUCCUCUUUCUGAAGCCAGAACCAUCAGUUGCUCCAAACUGAACUUGGAAAGCUUGCUCUCCUUCGACAUUUAUUUAGGAUCACAGAGUGAUUCCAAUUUGAAAAAUUCUCAGAUUCAAAUCUGGCUAAUUGACGAGACUAGGGAGUUUUCACACAGCUCUGGGGCUCUCGCUUCCUCAAAACAAGAAUUAAAGCACUCUUUCACAUGUGGUCAGCACAGGAAGGGGGAGCCAUUUACUGUAAAUGCUUCUCUGAUGCAAUCCAACCACCUCUUUCAAAGACAGAAUUCAUCCAAGAAGCCUUAGUCACUUCUAGAAAAAUGCCACUGCUCUGAAUGUACACACAGCAAACCACACGCCUAGAGACAAGAGAUGAGCUGGUUCGGCCAACAGAAAACAGAUCAACAGAUGGGGAGAGAGAUCUUGCCUUCAUCAGAUCCAGUGGUGUCGUUUCUGAGGUUGGCCUUUGAGAAGGAUGCCUGACAGACACGCUACCCUCAUUUACUGUUUCACAAACCAAGCGCAAGGAGAUUUCUCCUCUGCCUACCUGUGAAAGCACUUCCUAAACUGUGGGCCUCUGGUUUAGAACCGGGAACCUAGGCAUAAUUAGUAACUGAGCAACUAUGACUACUUAGUUAGCUAAAAACAUUUUAGAUGCAGGAAAAAAGAGGAAUACUGUAAUUUAAACCUUGAAACUGAAAGUACAACUCAGAGAGGGUGGAUUACACAUGAAGAGGGUGAGACAGGGAAACGCUGAGGAGCAGUUGGGUAGAAAAGCACAAGGAAAGCAGUUCUAAGCUCUUCAGAAAGGACACAUUUCCCUAAAACCCCAAAUCCACCAGACGAAACUAGGGGAGGAGGAUUCCCCCUGUUUCUGCUUACCCGGGACACCUUGAGUUCUUCUGGGGGCAGGAUGUGUGCCCUUGCUUUUCUGGAGGAGCCAGGGACGACUCGAGGCUGUGUUCUGCUGAAGACGGGAAUCCCCUUGAUGAGCGAAACCGCACAAGGUAAUAUAUGUGGUCUGAGCAAGCCAUUGGCUACAGGAGGCUGAGGCGUGUGCAAGUCUCAUUUGCUAGCCUCCGGGUAAGCUCCUCACAGCCCAUCAUCUCAGGAGAAGACGCAGGGUGCACUAUGCUCCAGCAGAGUCAAAACUAGACAGGGUUCGUUGUUUCCGUGGCACUCUCCCCGGCCCAGAGGAAACCACAGCCGACCACAGGAGAUCUGGCUCCUUCACCAGGCGAAAAAGAAUUAGGAUGUCGACACCGGCAAUUUACCAACGAAUCACACACCAAUGCCAGAGCUUGCUGUCUUUAUACAGACUGCCUGGGAGUCAGAUGGAGGUACAGGCAAGACCAACUUUCAACGUGUUUUUGAACUACCUGUGUCAAGACUGCCUCCGUGGAGACCGAGAGUGUGCUCUUCAGACAAGAAUUGGGGGUCACUCUCCUGUACUUAGAGGUGUGAGGGUCAUCUUUCCCGUCUAUGGAACUAAACAGUUGACCGCACACUCCUCUCCCCCUUUAUUACUUAGUCACGUCUCUUCCAUUCUUAGCAUCAGGACAACUCCAGGUAGGUUGACCAACUGUAAUUUCAGCAAAUAGAGAGUGACACUGGGUUACCUGUGUCCACUCCCAUCACCCAUGCUAGAUCUGAACAUUACAUUAGGAGACAGAGAACUGGGGAAACAAGGCAGGCUGCAGAAAACGACGGGCGAACGUGAAGGCAAGCAGAGGAGAGUGAUAUGGAUGGAUGUAUCAUACUUUGGGCUUUCAAUCAAGAACUUUACAGCAUAAAGUGACUCUUUCUAAAGUAGCCCAUGGACUCGCCAACUCAGCUCUCUGACUCUGGCAAUGGGGGGGGGCACCUGAAUGCAUUCCCUGCACAGCUGGUAGCUGGUCUUGAGUACCUAACUACUUCCAGCACCCUGGGGACAUAAAGGAUUCUUUAAAACGAGAUCAAGAAACACAGACAUGUUUAAAAUGUCAUCACCUUCCUGUAAGUCAAAUUUUUUGUGUGUUUUGUGUGUGUGCCUGCAGGAGUUUGUGUGUACCAUGUGGGUACAGGUGUCUUCGGAGGCCAAAAGCGACCAUAGGUCCCCUAGGGAGUCAACGCUCUCUGCCACCGAGCCAGGGCUCCAGCCAGACUUUGUAGUUCUCAGCUUUGCCCCCUCUUGGUUUCUACAGGUCUACGGCUAUCUAAACACCUUGGAAUUUUCCAACAGCUCUCCUUCAUCUUAACCACUUUAUUUCAGUCCUGGGGAAAUACUGGGGAAAUCUCGUCUUUACAACACGGACUUAAGAAUUUUAUGAAAUGUGAAGUAUGAAAACUUUCUCCCCACCCCCUCCAAGAGUGUUUCAUUCCUCUGCAUGUUCCCAUACUCUCUGAAUGGGGAGCCCAACUGAGAAUACAUGAAUAGGUUCUUCAAAUGCCCUUUUUUGUGUCAGGAUCAUUAUCUGCUGGGACAUUCGGACACAAAUAGGAAGGAAGCUAACACUUAACUUUGUACUCUCUACUUAUGGAGCUCUUUUUGGUGUUGCCAGUAUUUUGCCUAAUAGUUAAAUUUGGCUGUGUCAGAACAGAGAUUCUUGAACUUCAUUUUAGCAUCGAAAUCCCUUUCAUUCCCCAAAUAGCAUCUCAGGUGAAGGCCCACUGCACCGUAUCAACAGCAGGAGAACACCCUUGGUUGCCGCAGUGCAACAGAAGACACCAGCCCUUCUGGCUUAUCCCUGUUAAUGCAUAUCACCCCUGAGGUGGUACAGCCAAACUCUUUUGAUACUUCUUUAAACUAUCAAUGUAUCCUCCGUAUGCCUUUAUGUCUCAGACUGAGGCAUGCCUAGUUUUUUUCUUUUAAUGCAGGUCAAAUCUCAGGUCCAAUCUCAGACAAAUACCCUACCUACUGCAUUGAACUUCAGAGCUCUGCCACACCUUUGACAGGCGCCAACCCAAACACUAGAACUAUCAUCUCCACCUGCACUCCUAGUCAGCCUUACCCCUAGCAUAAGUUUAAGAUCAUUUUAGAAACAAACUUUUGUCAAGACAUGUUUCAAAAUGUAUACCAACACCAUCUUGAUGCACGAGAGCUCAUUACAUCUCAACUCAGAUAUGUAUAUACUUAAUUUUUAUUUGCUAGUGAGUUAAUCUAUUAGGCCCUGUACUAUGUAAUUGUCUUUCUGUGAAGGAUAGGCCCUUUACACAAAAACAGACCCACAAGAUAUUGCCCAGGGAUGCCGAACUGUCUUCACUUGCAAAGCAUACACUGUGACCUCCACAACAACGAAAUCACCUGACAUCUUUUUAAGGAUGUGCCCUUGCUCUUAACCAGUGCAUGGCUGAGUGGGAGGCUGACUUACUACAAGCAUCAGGCUCAAGCACACACAUCUGAGAGUCAAAGGCAAAGGGGAACUUAAUGUUAGGCAAUCAUUAACCAAAAGAUCUUAAUACCACGUCAGGCUAGGAGCAAAGAUCGAAACGCCAUCUCUAACAGGCGGUUAUUUCUAAGCGCUUCUGCCAACACGGAAACAUGGAAGUCCUUUCUUGUCUUCUGGGUACUGUUUUUUGGUUUUAAAAAGAUAGCUCUCACCCGAUUAAGUGGCUAUAUGUCAAGUGUAUUGCAGAAAAAUGCCCAAAGUGAGAAGAGAUGGAUGUCCAAAGUCCACCCAGGGCCACCACCAGCUUGGAUCUGGGAAGCCCCAGAGCUCCAUAAUCAACUGCCCUUUCAGAAAACACACUACCUAAAUAAAGUCAGGAGAGAACUUGAUAUUCCUGUAUCCCAAAUACACAUGGGCAUUUAAAUGAGCGGCAUUUCCAAAUUCAUGCUUCAAUCACUAUUUUCCUAUGAUUCUGAUUUUUUAGUUUUGCCCUGCAAAUGACGAGGAAACAUUCUAGCACAGUUAACAGCAUCUAAAAAGGCUGCCCUUAAUCAUGGGACACAUUCUGAGACUCUCAGUGGCUACCUGAAACCUCAGCGAGUACAAAACACCCAAUGCACAAUGAACUUUCUCCUUUGCAUACAUUUGGAUGAUAAACUUCAAUUCAUAAAUUAGACUCACUAAGGGACUAAUAAUGAUUUAAAAAAAGAUUAUUAUUACCUAUUGGUUUAGGAUUGGAGUUCGUCUUCCCUUAGGAACAGUGCUUCUAAUGACUCUCGGGGAUCCAGGGCAUUCCACGGAGCUGACUUCACUCAUGAUGUGUGCACAAUGUUCUGUGAAGAGUUGUGAAGAGCAGGUGUGAAUCUGUGGUGCAAUGCGGGUCAGCAGUGGAGAAGCAUGCAAAGAAUGACCUUCAGCUGUCUAUAUGCAAAUGUAGGAAGGUUUAGUCACUAGGGCUGGGAAACUUCCUCAGUUUACUGAUGACUGUUCUUAGGAGAAGACAGAGACUUAAAAUGCAGAUGGAAUAUGUAUACCUACUCCAUAUAUACGGGAUCAACAACACUAUGGCUUGAAAGGUCAUCAGGGAGAGAGGGAACAGUGGUCAAAUUCCUCCAAGUCCAGCAGAAAGGGGUUGUGUUGGACAUACACCCUGCACCAGGAGAAACCAAUGGACCACAGGUGUGCUGAAUGGCCACGUAUGUGACCAAGAUGUGUGCAAAGCAAUCUGGGAAGGCUCUUGUAUGGUAAGCUUGGUAAGAAGCUGGUUGUCAAUCUUCCAGGGAAGUAGCUAUUUGGUCUGGCUGGUGACUCAGAUGGUGAGAGCAUGGGGCAGGGUUCAGAAUGGUGUCAUGCAGUGUGGUCAGCCUUGUGGUGUCCGACGAUGAGCAGAGGCAAACUUCCCACAGGCAUGGGGCUGGUUCAACAGGCACAGGCCAGAGCCUUGGGCAGCCCAGUAGAGCCGAGGACUCUUCAGGUCUCGGUCCUCCUGUAAGACUCUCUAGGGGAGGGAGUUAGGAGACUGUCAUCUGAAAAAUCUUUUACUAUUAGCAUUGCUAAUUUUAAAUUACUUAUGAAAAUGAUUAAUGGACCUAGUGUGAGUGUGGAGUGGUAGAUUUCCAGUUCUGCCAGCAGGGGGCUUAGGGAAAGGAAGGCAGCUAUAUUUUUCUUCAAUCUUGCUCCUUUGGAGCCCUGUGAAGCCAGUCUGUGAUCUAACGGAGGGUUCUUCAAACCAUGCAGUAACCCAUUUGUAAUGUAAGCAGCACUUUUAGAAAAGGAAACAAAACAGAAUAAAAAGGCUGGCGCUCAUCACUCUCACGUAACUGCGUGUGUGUGGCAUGUACUUUCCCACGUUGUAAAUCCAAUCCUUUCUGGGAAAGAAAAUGGUCUACUAUCAAAGGCUGGAAAUUAUGCUUGAAAUGAAGUGGGUGUAUCACCUGUAGAAUUAAUUAGAACUGAACUAUGCCAUCCUUCUUAUCUUGGGAACUAAUCCAUAAACCAAGUUACACUAUGCUAAACGCUGAUCCUAAAGGUAUCUUCUAAGUCAUUAUUCAGUCAAUCACCCUGUAUAAAUUCUCCCUAGUGGAUGUUAAGAGAAGAUGAAGCUAAAAAACAAACAAAACACAAAACAAACAAAAAACUCCAACAAAAAACCCAACAAGAAAAAUCUACUUCAAUUCCAUUACAUAGUGUUAAUUGUGAAUUAUUAAGCAGGAUUAAAUUACAGUUAUGGCAGCUAUCACACAGUACGUGCUAUGUGCCACAGAAUGUUCUAUACAUUGGACAUACCACUGACUCCCUUCAUCUUCUCAGUAGUCCAAUAAAGAUGACACUAACAUUGUUUGUUUUACAGAUAAACAACACACAAAAAAAAUUAAGUCAGCUGCCCGCUAUGUAGUUUGAGUCAUGGAGUUUAGCAUCUCAAGACAUGCUUUUAGUCGCAGAGCCACCAGCGGCACAAUUGUGCUGACGCUGCGAGAAAGAAAACCUAAGCUACCUCAGGUCUAGCCUCACUUCUUUAUGUUUCAUGCCCCAGGGCGCAUGCACCACUCUUCCCAGAAGCGCUAACAGCACAUCCACCUUUCUCUGUGCUGCAGACUGAAAUGCAGCGACCGAAUCCCUUACCUUUCUGCAAUAAAUGUGGCUUCUUACUCACAUCACAGAGAGAAGGAAGGAGUCAGCUGCAGUGUUGGUCCUUAACUCUGUAUUAACGUCCAUUCUUAUCCCAUGACUAUGUCCACAAGCCAUUGACAUGCUGGUGAUGUGACUUCUGGGCUGGGUAUCUGGAGCUCCAGGGCUGCCUCGGUCUUUGCAUCCUGACUGGGAACCUCAUGAGCUUCCUACAGGCUCAGAGAGAAUCGCAGGUCUAGCACCGUGUGAUGGGUAUACAGUUACGAUUCAUGAAAACAUGAAAUGACAUGGGACACAACUAUUUGCCCAUGCAACCUCCUUGCUGCCUUCAGGUUACCCAGCAUGUUUUAUAACAGGGUCUUAUACAGAUGUAAGACUCAACACUAUUGUUGGCAGCGUUGAGUCCUCAGACUCAGACCCUUGGGUAAGAACCUUACUUUUUCAGCACCACUCAAACUGCAGUUUAAAGGUUAUAAUUUGGGUGUGAAGUGUUACCCCACAUGCUCAUAUGUUGAAUGCUUAAUGAAUACUGGAUAGAGAGAGCUGUUCUGAAAAACUGUGGAACCUUUAAAAGGUGAGGCCUCACUGGAGGAAGUGGGCUGCUGUGAUGGGUGGGCACGCCCUGCUUGUGCACUAGCUCCUGGAGAUGCUGAGAUGCAAGGAGUCCUGAGCCAUACACUAGCAACACUUGCAUGCCUUCAAGCCAUGAUGGACUGUGUCCCUUUCAACUGUGAGACACAGUAAUUCCUUCCUCCCUUAAGCUGCUUCUCCUGAGUGUCUGAUCCCAAUGACAAGUACCUAGUACAAACAGUGAGAAGACAGCUACGGGAGAGCCCUUCUUGCAUCAUGUGAGCUGAAGUAGUCAAUACUACUAGCAAAGGAAAGCAGUACUCAGGUCUUCGUCUGACACUUAACUGUAACUGCAGAUUUUUAUCAUGCAAGCAACUUUGUCCCCAGCCCCCCCCCCCAAGAAACCAAGUAUCUUUAAAAAUAAAAGUUAUCAAGAUUAAUAUAUUUGGCUGGUUUACACACUGUCACAUAGAGGAUUUCAGAACAGUUUAGGGUAUUUGUAAAUGUCAUGAAACCCUUGAAUAAAAUCUGGGGCUAAACUGCGGUGACCGUGUUGUCCCACACUUUCUUAUGUCUUUCCACAGAGUCUCUAGGUGACUUAAAAACUAAUAAAAGUAAUUCUCCUUUUACAACACACAGUUCAGACAGAGCACUGUUAAAAUCUUCCUUGAAUAAUACUGUUUACUUUUGACUGUUAAUUCACAGAAGAGGCAGGAAAGAUGACUUUACCUAUCCAUCAGUAAAAUGAUUUUUUGGUAUUUUAAAGUUAUUUCUCUUAAUGAACAGACUGAGCUGUUCAUUUCUACGAAAUACACAGUGUAUCUGAAACCAGUACAAUUGACAUUGACUGAGGCACACACUGUGGUUGCAAGAAAUAAAAGGAUGAUUCAAUUAUGUACUAAUAUGGCUAACCUGCUUCUGAGAAAGAUACCCUUGGGAGAAAUGUGACCCUUGCUGCAAGUGGCAUGUGGGGACUUUUGCGAUGCUGCUGCUACUCAUUCUUCUCGUCCACUUACCUGCCCGCUUCCUGAGCUGAGACAGGAGCGUUAUUUUUUUGCAAGACAGCCUGCAGAAGAGAGGAGAACCUCCAAUGUGGCAAUUAAGCUUCUUUUCUUUUAACUGACACGAACGGGGCAGGCCUGAGGUCCCCAUAAGACCCUGUCUCCAAACAAAAACCACCAUCACAAACCCCUUGCAUUUAUGCCAGGAAAAACAGCAUAGCUACCAACUUUGUAGCCAGCUGCGCUCGCUUAUAUUAAGAGUCUGGCUGAGGCCUCCCUAGAGUACAGAAAUGAGGGCAGUGUUUUUGGAGCUGAGGAAGAGUGUGCAGAACUAGGAGGACAGGGAACAUUUAAGGGAGGAGCUAUUGUUAAAGGAGGAAGCUGCUCCAGGUUUGAAAGCAGCUCACAAAGCCUUCAUUGUCGGAGGAUGAGGGUGGGCCUCUGUCCUUCCUGCCCUCAAGCUGGCAAAGUGGAAAAACCAGUGAACUAGGAUCUGAGUGGAUACUCACAAAGUCAAUAGCAUGUCUUAAAACCGUAAAAUAAAUCCGGAUGGCAUUUUUUAGCAAAAUGUAUCCUCAAAUUCUUAAGGUAAGAUAAAGAUUCUGCAACAGUCCAAACAGAAAGAACAAGAAGGGAGGGACAAUGCUACCUGACUUUUAAAUACACUAUAAAGCUAUAGUGAUUAAAGCAGUAUGGUGUCAUUAAAACAGACACAAUCACUGGAAGAUACACCCCUGUGUACAGCCAACGGAUCCUGACAAAGACAACUCAGACAUCCAAAAGAACAGGCCCCUAGAUGAACAGUGCUGAGAACAUGAAAAAUAAAACUGAUCUGUCAUACACCCUACAAGAUAAUGUGUCCCAUGGGUUGGUGAGGCAGGUGAAUGGAGGAAAGGUGCCUUCUGCCAAGCCUGACAAUCUGAGCUCCGUCCCCAGGACCAGAGUACACCUAGCCCUGUGAGCCAUCUUCUGACCCCCACACCUGUACAGCACUGCAUAAGAGUACAUGGAGUGCACACUCAUAUACAGCAAACACAUACAAUGUGAUUUUCAAAAUUAAAGUGAAUAUAAAUGGGCCAAAGACUUAAACAACUGAAUGCAUGUCAUUAUUUGGAGAAAAUACAGGGAAAGUGCUACGCCAUUCCAUCUAGGCAGGCUUUCUCGAGUAUGACGAGUAUGACGAAAGCACAAGUAACAAGAGCAAAACCGGACAAGCAGGAUCAGAGCAAGUGAAGCAGGUCAGCAUGGCACAGGAGGCGGGGCUGUGGAGGAGACCCUAGGGCUUGGGUAAGGCAGCUGUCAGUCACGUAUCUGACAGUCACACAGAGCAGGUAAGGGGUGCCCAAGGCCCAGCAGCAAAACAAUCUCAUUUCUAAAGCAGGCAUUUCUCCAAAGAAGACAUACAAAUAUGACCGUGAUGCACAUGAAUAGAUUUUCAACAUUACUGGUUUGCAAGAAAAUGCAAAUCAAAAUCACAGUGGGAACUGGGUGAGGUGAAGCACACCUUCAAUCCCAGCACUAGGAGGCAGAGCAAGGCAAGGCAGCUCUGAGAUCCAGGCCAGCCUAGUUUACAUACUCUGUUUCAAAACAAAACAAACCACAGUAGGCUAUCUCCUCCUACCUUUUAGGAGGGUUACUAUUUAAAAAUAAAAAAAAAGAAGACGACGACAACGACAGAAAAGAGAUGAGAAACUGGAGCCCUUACACAGUAUCCAUUGAUGUAAAAAACAGGGACAACUAAACAUUGUGCAUACAUACAUACAUACAUACACAUACACACAUACAUACACACACACUGGCCCAGUGCUUGUAUGUCCAUCUCCUAUCUUCCUAAUAAUCCCUGAUAUGGCCAUACCUGAAGCACUGAAACAGACACACCCUGGUACAUACAAGAGGUUCGUUUGGAAAAGGUACUCUUAAUUACUCUAUCUGAUAACUAAAUGUGGAGUACAAUUUCCAAGUAUUCACUUUAGAACUUCUAACACCAAAAUUAUUAAAGUGCUCGAAACUGCAGAGAGCUUGGGUCACUGUGUUAUUCUAUUAUACCCUCUACUUUCUUUGGUCACCACAGCUCACCCCCUUGUAAAAUGAGAAGCUCCUUAAAACUGCAAAUAGUGCUUCAGUAUUAUUUGGACCCAAAGAGCAUGAGGUUCCAAUGAGGCCCUGCUUGCCACACGAUUCUCAGCAAGGAUAGAAAAGUGUAUUUCAGCCUUUGCUCACCUGGCUUUCUGAUGUUGUAAGCAUUAGACUGAAUGGCAGUAGGUCCUCGACUUAUGCUUUCAGCUGAUGCUUAGCAUGUGGGACUCACCAAAUGAAACAUGAUUACUUACUUAACUUUGAAAAUUAGUUACUGUUUUGUGUUGUGUGUAUGCAGAGCACGUGUGUGCACGUGCAUGGGAAGCCAGAUUUUGACACCAGAUGCCUUUUUCAGUUACUCUGCACCUAUUUUGGGGGCAGGGCUCUCACUUAACCAGGAGCUCAUGGGAUUGGCUAGACUGGUUGGACCAAGAGCCCUGGGGAUCCUUCUGUCUGUCCCUCACCACCCAGUGCUAUGGUGACAGUCAUACAGCUAGCUUUUCACAUGGAUAUCCGAAGAUGUGAACUCAGGUUCUCAUGCCUGCAUAGAAGGCACACCUGUGACCGAGCCAUUUCCCUAGCCUAACAUUAUUAUUUUCUUCGUCAUAUACAUCCAGAAAAUGCAAAGCAGAUCAAAAUCCCUAACUACAGGAGACAAAUGCAACAACUUCCUUCUGCAGUUUUGGCAGCACCCUGUCUUGGGCCUGGCAGUAACAGUGGCCAUUUGCUGACCACAAUUAAUGUGCACACCAUAUCAACAGAGAUGCUUUGGCAUUCAGCCCCGGGUUCAAAACCAGCCUCUGGAAUACACUACCUCACCUCUGGUUACCUCCCUUCUAGACUCAUUUAAGCUUGGACACCGGCUUCUCUCAGAUCAAUCAAGGGGCCCUGACAAAAGGAACAGCUUCACAGGACGAUAGCCAGGAAGACAGGAAAAGUGAAAGACAUAUUUUCAAACACAUGUUCUUCGUGUCUGAGGUUACAAAACACAAAUGCAUCAUUUUAUGUUCCCUUAGGCCAACAGCUCUAUCUCCCCACGUCUGCCACUCUCUAAAGCCACUGCAAUUUCCGGCCAGUGACACAAAGCUUACCUACUGAAGAGGGACAGAGACGGCAUGAGGACACAUGGCAGAGAAAGAGAGAACAAAAUGCUGCUCUUGGAUGAUGGAGAAGGAAAUGACCAAAUGUGAACAGUUCGCUCCGUCAGAGGUGGUUUGUCCAGAGGCAGCAUCUUACUGGACCCACUGUGGACAUUCAGAGACCAGAAGAGCCACUCGGGUGAGUCCCAGCUGACUCACAGAAUCCUGCUCAAAUAAGGUGGAAUCUAAUAGGAGGUCUCUGCGGCAGUUACUCUGGGAAAGGACGACUCCAGAGACCCAGGUUGUUAAAAGACUCUUGUUGGCCAUGUGAUCUGUGCCUCUCACAGAAUGUCACCUGCUCUCCAACCUUCACCAACAGGGUCACCUGACCAUGGGACUUUCCACCUCUAAAACUAAGUUUAAAACAUCAUUUAUAAAGCACUCUGCCCUGGGUAUUUUUAAAAAUACUUAAUGAAAAUUGAACUAAUACGCAUGCCAAAUGUACUUGUCGGGCUGGAGAGAUGGCUCAGAGGUUAAGAGCGCCGACUGCUCUUCUAGAGGUCCUGAGUUCAAUUCCCAGCAACCACAUGGUGGCUCACAACCAUCUGUUAUAAGAUCUGGUACCCUCUUCUGGUGUGCAGAUAUACAUGGAAGCAGAAUGUUGUAUACAUAAUAAAUAAAUAAACUCUUAAAAAAUGU